Molecule: ribosomal RNA, 495 nt
Filed under: uncultured bacterium
Lineage: Bacteria
Description: partial 16S ribosomal RNA
Rfam family: Bacterial small subunit ribosomal RNA
Source: RNAcentral
AUGAACGCUGGCGGCGUGCCUAAUACAUGCCAGUCGCGCGAACAGACGAGGGGCUUGCUCCUCUGACGUUAGCGGCGGACGGGUGAGUAACACGUGGAUAACCUACCUAUAAGACUGGGAUAACUUCGGGAAACCGGAGCUAAUACCGGAUAAUAUAUUGAACCGCAUGGUUCAAUAGUGAAAGACGGUUUUGCUGUCACUUAUAGAUGGAUCCGCGCCGCAUUAGCUAGUUGGUAAGGUAACGGCUUACCAAGGCAACGAUGCGUAGCCGACCUGAGAGGGUGAUCGGCCACACUGGAACUGAGACACGGUCCAGACUCCUACGGGAGGCAGCAGUAGGGAAUCUUCCGCAAUGGGCGAAAGCCUGACGGAGCAACGCCGCGUGAGUGAUGAAGGUCUUCGGAUCGUAAAACUCUGUUAUUAGGGAAGAACAAAUGUGUAAGUAACUAUGCACGUCUUGACGGUACCUAAUCAGAAAGCCACGGCUAACUACGU